Molecule: ribosomal RNA, 481 nt
Filed under: uncultured bacterium
Lineage: Bacteria
Description: partial 16S ribosomal RNA
Rfam family: Bacterial small subunit ribosomal RNA
Source: RNAcentral
GACGAACGUUGGCGGCGUGCUUAAUACAUGCAAGUCCACUGAAGCAGUGGUAGCAAUAUCGCUGUGGAGGUGGCGCACGGGUGAGUAACACGUAGGUAAUCUGCCUUCAGGUCUGGCAUAACUCCGGGAAACCGGGGCUAAUAGCAGAUGAUGCAGCGGCUCGACAUCGAGACAGUUGUUAAAGCUAUGGCGCCUGAAGAUGAGCCUGCGUCUGAUUAGCUAGUUGGCGGGGUAACGGCUCACCAAGGCAACGAUCAGUAGCUGGUCUGAGAGGAUGAUCAGCCACACUGGAACUGAGACACGGUCCAGACUACUACGGGAGGCAGCAGUAAGGAAUAUUGCUCAAUGGGAGAAAUCCUGAAGCAGCAACGCCGCGUGAGGGACGAAGGGCUUUGGCUUGUAAACCUCUGUAGUGAGAGAAAAAAAUCCCAAUCUUUGGGACAUGAUGGUAUCUCAAAAGUAAGCCCCGGCUAACUACGUG